GGGGUGUGACUUCCGGGUUAAUAUGGCCACCGCCUCAGAGCCAAGCGUCGGUAUUCUUAGGGUGCAAGCGAGCUGAGAGGAGUCGCUCUGUUCGAGGGUUCGGCGAUGGCGCAGACCUCAUCCGGGCCGUGGAUUCUGGAAGCCGCUCCCUUCUUCGUGGUCGUCCUCAUGGUCGCGCAUGUUUCCGCUUUGGUUUAUUGGAUCUACAGGCUGGCCUCCGAUAGACCACCCCCCCGGACUAAGACGCAGUAGGAAGGAUCUUCUCAUCUCUUUGAACGAUUGCAUCGCCCCUAAAGGCUUGAGACAUAAUGGUGAUAUGAGGCUGAAUACAGAGAGGUCCUUUCUUUGACACCAUGCAACUCAAAUAAAGAAAGCUACUGCAGCUUUCCUAUGCAAAAGAUUGUCUUCACUCUUUUGAAGUGCCUUUUCCUGUGUAACAAUUAAUUUUGCUCUCUGAGUGGAUAAAGCAAAUAUUCAAACUGUCACAGAAUGAUUGUCUAGUAGGUUUAGUGUGUAAUUUCAUAGCAAACAGAGUUUGUUUAGCAUCAUCAGAUCUUUAAGUUAUUAUAGCAAAGAUAUUCUCUUA
Molecule: long non-coding RNA, 586 nt
Organism: Musa acuminata AAA Group (dessert banana)
Lineage: Eukaryota; Viridiplantae; Streptophyta; Magnoliopsida; Zingiberales; Musaceae
Exons: 3
Source: RefSeq, a predicted model, not a curated record